RNAcentral lists this ribosomal RNA (460 nucleotides) under uncultured bacterium. Its description in RNAcentral is "partial 16S ribosomal RNA". It matches the Rfam family "Bacterial small subunit ribosomal RNA", at positions 338 to 795 of the family's 1533-position model. The record is from RNAcentral.
CCUACGGGUGGCAGCAGUGAGGAAUAUUGGUCAAUGGGCGCGAGCCUGAACCAGCCACGUCGCGUGAGGGAUGAAGGUUCUAUGGAUCGUAAACCUCUUUUAUAAGGGAAUAAAGUGUGGGACGUGUCCUAUUUUGUCUGUACCUUCUGACUAAGGAUCGGCUAACUCCGUGCCAGCAGCCGCGGUAAUACGGAGGAUCCGAGGGUUAUCCGGAUUUAUUGGGUUUAAAGGGUGCGUAGGCGGCCUUUUAAGAAAGCGGUGAAAUUCUGUGGUUCAACCAUAGAAUUGACGUUGAAACUGGGGGGCUUGAGUAUGUUUGAGGCAGGCGGAAUGCGUGGUGUAGCGGUGAAAUGCUUAGAUAUCACGCAGAACCCCGAUUGCGAAGGCAGCCUGCCAAGCCAUGACUGACGCUGAUGCACGAAAGCGUGGGGAUCAAACAGGAUUAGAUACCCCAGUAGUC